ACUCUGAGGCAAUUGGAGGCAAUUUUCAUCGAAUAAAAAAAAUUGGUAAAUUUGUUCAUUGUCAACAUGUAUGAUUUCAAAAAAUCUGAAUCUUCAGAUAAAGACGUAGUAUUUUGUCUGUAUUAAAUAUAGACUUUUGAAACAUACGACAGCAUAUUAUUUCUAAAUUAUUAUGAAUUUAUAUUUUUUAGGGGGACAACUCAAUAAUUAAGGCGAUUUUAGGGGUUUUUGACAUCAACUUUAGGGAUAAAUAUUUUGGAGAGUUGGUAACACUGCGCCAAGCUUGCCAGUGGAUCGCUAGGAAGCGUUUUAAACGGUACAGGAAUUAGUUUGUGUUUUGUGACUGCAAAAGUAGAAAAAAUACAAUGCCAAAGAAACGCCCGUUAAGUAGGAAAAUAGGUAAUCAUACCGAAGAAGAUAUGAAAAAAGCUCUUCAAGAUGUCAAAUCAGGGAAAAAAUACUUGCUGUUGCUAGAGAACAGAAAAUUCCAUUUUCGACCUUACAACAUUAUGCAGCCAAAAUUAAAGCAUCACAAGUCCACAACCACAAGUCCUGAAAAUGUGAGACUUGUACCAAAGUUAACAGAGUUUUCACGGAUGAGCAAGAACAAGCAUUAAAGGAGUAUUUUGAUUUAUUAUCAAAAUUGCGCUCUUAUGUUCUCAAAUCGAUAUCCGUUAGUUGGUAUUUGGAAAGGUUUUUAUUUAAUUUUAUGUUUUGCUGAUAAUAAUGUUAUUACAAAAAUCUCAAUCGUGAUUUAUAGGUUAAGUAAAAAACGAAAGUGCUUUUAAAUUGUUAAGUGGCUAAAGUAAAAAGUCUAGAAGCUAAGAAUCAUUUGUUUUGUUUAAAAUUUAUAAUGUGGUUUUAUGUUGGUUAUAUUUCAAUGAAUGAAUAUUAUUAUUAUAUUUGUUUAUAAAGAAGAAGAACUUCAUUUACUUUGACAUUUUACAUAUGAAGACUUUUGGUUGACUAGUUAAGAAUACUACAUUUAAAAAAAUCUGUUUGUCAUAAUAUUAAAGGAUUAAUAAUAUGUUAAACAAAGUCUAAAUACAGUUUUUAUACAUAGAUAAAAAAUAUUACCUUUUAUUUUAGGUUAAACACCCAACUGACCCACUGUGACCUGAAAACUGACUCACUGUAUACACUAUAUAGGACACAGUGGAUCAAAAGCCAUUUUUAAAAGAAAUAUAUAUUUUUCAAAAAAUAUUAAGUAUAAUACAUAUAUUUGUAUACCGAAACGCAGCUAAUUAGUCUACCUUUCUUCCACUAAAGUUUGACAUCGAUAGCUUUUAUGGUUUUUGAGAUAUAUGACUCGGAAAAAAGGGUGACUCACUGUUCCCACAAUCACCCUACUGAUAAUAUGGCUGAAAAUUUGUGGAGAGAUAAUUAGGUUAGGGGUAGGGUAAAUGUAGGGUAGGGUAGGUAGGGUUUGAGUUGGGGUAGGGUAAGGGUAGGGUAGUGGUAGAGUACGGGUUGGAGAGGGACAGGUGUAGAGUAGGUAGUAGUACGAAAUAAAAAACGAAAGUUCUAUAAUGUGUGUCCACUCUCCUCAGCGGCAUGUCAGGGCCAAGGGGGCAGGAUCACCCUAGGAAAUAAUCUUAACUAAGCCCUAAUUAUGUUUAUAAUUUAUAUGUAUUAUUAUUUAUAUAGAGGCCAAUACUCUGUAACCGCACUGUACUUGUUGCUACUUGCUAUCGUUGCUAUCUUUACGCUUAGAGACAUCUCUGGACGAAUAGCCAAACUAAAAUUUCAAAUUAAUUGUUUGUUAAAGUAUCCGAUAGAUAGCGCUAACAUCAAAAUAAGAGGUAUUUUUUACUUACUUUUAAUAAAUUCCUAUAAAAAAUACAUUUCAUUUAUUAAGUUGUUAAAACAAUAUUUAUUUUUUAUUAACAUUAUUAAAUUCGUAAACACCUUUGUUUAGCUUUUUACAACAGCGACUGGCAACUCUAAGAAAUUAGAAUUUUAAAAUUCAGGGAAGUUGGGACUUUGGGAGUUUGCCGUGGUUGCCAGUUGCCAGGUUGCCACUUGCCGAGUUCUGGACUUUGGGAACGGGAAGUGAAAACUGUGUUAGUGUAACAAAAAUGAAUCUUCAGUGGUAAAAAAAAAUGUUUUAACAAAAUGUUUGUUGGUGUAUAAUAAUGUUAUUGAUUAUUCAGUCGUUAGUAAGGAUAAUUAAAUAUCUAAGCACAUAGUUGACAGCUAUUUUUAUAACCUAAAUUAGUCAUCAAUAAAAUAGUACUAAAUGAAUAGGUGACGAACGUCUGGAAUUGUAACAAAUUAAAUGUUAUAGUAAAAAUGUUACAACGCUGUGAUGAACAACGUUAGUGAUAUUAUCAACAAUUCUAUUUGAUAUCAACUUGUUCCAAGUAGAACUGUCGCUGCUGUGAUACCAAAUCAAUUGGUAAGUGUCUUUUUGUAUGUACCUACUUAUACAUAUACCCAUGUAUCUUACCCGACUUGUACUUUCAUACAAAAAUAGUAUACGAAAAUCGCUAU
Molecule: long non-coding RNA, 2493 nt
Organism: Bicyclus anynana (squinting bush brown)
Lineage: Eukaryota; Metazoa; Arthropoda; Insecta; Lepidoptera; Nymphalidae
Exons: 3
Source: RefSeq, a predicted model, not a curated record